UGAAAAAUUGUUGAAGGAACGGAGUGUAAACAAGGAUUUAAAAAAUAUCUAGUAAACUGAAAUGCAUAAAUUUCACAGUCGCUUCUCCGUCAUCUAGACUAAAAGGAGUUCAUAUGGCCAAGUCAAGGAAAGAAUCAGACUGAUCUAGAUGAAAUUGUUUAAGUUAUGAGGAACGCUUGCCUGUGGGAUCUCCUGCUAAAAAGACUUGCUGCUUUUUACUGUGUAUGGAUUUCUGCAGUGUACUGUGCUUUCUCAAAAAAUUGUCAAAACUUAUGUACAAGUAACCUGGAAGGAGAACCUGGAAUUACUAACCUUUGCAAUGUUAGUGACAUCACAGGAGCAUGCACACAGGGAUGUCAGUUUUGGAAUGCAACAGUGCAAAUCAAUUGCCCACUGAAAUGUAACAAGACAUACACCAGAACAUGUGAGACAAUUUCCUGUAAGUUUGGCUGUAGCUGUGCAGAGGAUGCAUAUGGAACUGAAGCCCAGAACUACUUGAACAAGCCUGGAGCACCAUUUGCAUCUACCAUUGAAAGCCACAGUGUCACAUUAGGGUGGAAACCAGCUAACAUCUCUGGGGUGAAAUAUAUUAUCCAGUGGAAGUUCAAUCAGCUCCCUGGAGACUGGAGGUACACAGAGGUAGUAUCUGAAAAUUCAUAUACAGUUAAAGAUCUUCAAGCCUUCACAGAGUACGUGUUUCGAGUAGUUUGGAUCAUUACAUCUCAGCUGCAGCUCCAUUCUCCAUCGAGUCCCAGUUACCAGACACAUGCUUUUGGAGCUCCUGCGACAGCUCCUGUCAUUAAAGAUAUUCAGAGUUCAAGUCCAAACACUGUUGAAGUCAGUUGGUCUCCACCACUUUUUCCCAAUGGAUUGAUUAUUGGGUAUAACUUGCUCCUGACCAGUGAGAAUCAUGAACUGUGGAGAGCAUCAAGAGGGCAUAGCUUUCAGUUCUACUCCACCUUCCCAAACAACACUUACAGGUUCAGGAUUGUGGCCGUUAAUGAGUUUGGUGUUGGACCCCCUGCCGAAGCCAACAUCACAACCCCAGAAUCCAAAGUUAAGGAAAAAGCAACAUGGCUCUUCCUAUCCAGAAACCAGUCUUUAAGGAAGAGAUACACAGAACAGUUCCUCGAAGCAGCCCAGUGCCUGCAAAAUGGUAUCAUACACAACAACAUUACAGGAAUUUCUGUGAAUGUUUAUCAGCAAGUUGUCUAUUUUUCUGAGGGGAAUUCCAUCUGGGUGAAAGGAGCUGCAAAUAUGUCCAAUGUAUCUGACCUAACACUCUUUUAUGCUGGCUGGGGGAAUAUUACAUCCAUCUCGGUAGACUGGCUUUACCAGAGGAUAUACUUCGUCAUGAAUGAAAAGAUACAUGUCUGCCAUUUAGAGAACUGCACGGCAGCUGAAGACAUCACUCCUCUUUAUGUGACAUCCCCUAGGAAGGUUAUAGCUGAUCCCUAUAAUGGCUAUAUUUUCUUUCUCCUGGAGGAUGGCAUAUACAGAGCAAACCUUCCACUCUUCCCUGGCACUGCUUCCACAGCUUCACCAGUAGUGAAAUCCAGCGCUCUGAGAGACUUCAUGAUCAACUUCCAAUCUAAGAGACUUAUUUUCUUCAACAAAACAGAAAAGGCCUUUGUGUCAGGUUUUCUUGAUGGUUCAGAAUUUCACACGCUGCGAUCACACGUGCCACUCAAUGACAUGGAGAGCUUUGUUUAUGAGGAUAACACAUUUACUGUCACAGAUGGCCGAGCAGUUUUCCAUGAGGAGGUCUCUCCAGUGGGGAGUUCUAGCUUCAAUGAGUAUGUUGUGGAUUGCAAUCUGGCGUAUCCAGAGUACUUUGGAUUUGGCAACUUGCUUUUCUACGGGGCAUCAACUCAGCCUUUUCCUUUACCAACUCCUCCUCGGCUUGUCAUGGCACUAUUUGGAUUGGACCAAGCUGUGAUCAGCUGGACACCACCUGAACACACUAUUGGAACCAGUCUAUCUGCUUGGCAGAACUGGACCUAUGAUGUGAAAAUAUCAUCUCAGCAUCCAUCUGAGGAGGAAUGGGUUAUCUCAAACAUUACUGACACUAGGUUUACAGUGAAGGAGCUGGCCAGCUUCACAGUAUAUGAAGUGUCAGUCAGAGCUGUGUCUCCUGCUGGUGAAGGGCCAUGGUCGGAGUCAUUUAGAGGCACAACUUUAGAAGAAGCUGAAGAAGAACCGUAUAUGUUGGCAGUGGGAGCUGAAGGUCUCUGGAAGCAGCGGCUGGAUAGCUACGGGCCAGGAGAACUCCUCUAUCCUCAUAUAAGAAAUAUUUCAGACCUCGACUGGUAUAAUGACACUCUUUAUUGGAUUAAUUCCAUGGGGGAAGUUCAGACCUGGUCAUUGAACGGAAGAGAGGGUACCAGUGAGAAUACUUAUGUAUCUGACAUCAGAAAUGCAAGGGUGUUGGCCUUUGAUUGGUUGGGUCAAUGCUUGUACUGGUCUGGCAAAGCAAAUACGAUCUACAGAAAAUCACUACUGGCAGGCCAUAUGGAUGUUGUGGCUCAUGUUGUGUUCCUAGUGAAGAAUCUAGUAGUGGAUUCUCUAAAUGGCUAUUUAUACUGGACCACAAUGUAUUCAGUGGAGAGCGCAAGACUGAAUGGAGAGGAGUAUCUGAUGUUACAAGAGCAGCUACCGUUUUCUGGUAAACAGGUGUUUGGUUUAACUUUGGAUCUCACCUACGGAUUUCUUUACUGGCUUGUGCAAGAUAGUCUAUGCCUAAACCUAUACAGAGUUUCUCUUUGCAAAGAGGGUUGUGGUAAUGCCAUCAUCACAGAAUUUGCAGCCUGGAGUACUUCAGAAAUAUCUCAGGGUGCAGUGGAGUACUACAGUGGUCGUCUGUUCUGGAUUAAUAAUCUUCAGUUCAUUACAACUCAGGAAGUCAACCAGAGCCUUAGCAUUCCCUUCUCCCAGCCAGCAGAGUUUGCAGCCUUUACCCUUGUUCACACAUCACUUAAACCUUUGCCAGGAAAUUUUUCUUUUACACCAAAAGUGAUUCCAGAUUCAGUGCCUGAGUCUUCCUUCAGGAUUAAAGGAAAUUCUUCAAGUUUUCACAUCACUUGGAGUCCCUCCACAAAUGUGGAAUGGGGAACUGUCUUUUACUGCGUGGGAUCAAAAGCUCUGCAAACUGUGGAGAAUGAAUGGUGCCUCCAUCCCCAUAACCUGACAGUGCCAUCCUACCAAGUUGAUUGGCUGGAACCAUUUGCACUCUUUGAUUUUACCGUCACUCCAUACACAUACUGGGGCAAGGCACUACCAACAUCUGUAUUGCUUCAAGCCCCUGAAGGAGUUCCUUCAGCCCCUACAAACCCUAGAAUAUAUGUGUUACAAAAUAACCUGUGUAAAAGUGAUGAAAAAGUCCUUGUGGAGUUCAGGUGGGACAGGCCUGAAAGGGACAACGGAGUAUUAACGCAGUUCAGAGUUUACUAUCAACUACUGAGUCAGAAUGGCACUGCUGACACUUUCACAGAGUGGAAUGCGAGCAAUAUCAAACCCACCCUGAUGUUCUUUUCUCUCACCGAUGUGCUUCCUAGCCUCAGAGUAAGGUUUCAGGUGCAAGCCUUCACUUCUGUGGGUCCAGGACCUUUAUCUGAUAUAGCAGAGAGGAAUUCAUCAGAUCUUUUCCCUGUCCCAAUUCUUAUAACUGUUUCUGCCAACAAGUUGGUUUUUACUGACAUAGACAAUAAUCAUACCAUAUGGGAACUUUCAGCAAAGACAAAUGUAAAGGACAUCUGUUAUACUGCUAAUGAUGACAAAGUGUACUAUAUCGUAGAAGAUUCUCUUUUUCUUCUGAAUAUACAGACUACUUCAAAAUUUCAGUUUUUCAAAGAUGCAUAUCUUCACAAUGCCACAGCCAUCACAGUUGACUGGAUUGCAAGACGUCUCUUUGUUGCCCUGAAAACAUCGUGGAAUGAAACUCAAAUAUUUGUUAUUGAUCUUGAGCUCAAGAUAAAAUCUCUAAAAGCCUUGAACAUACAGUUGGGUAAAAGUAAUUCAACUGUAUCAUCUUUGUUAUCAUAUCCUUUCUUAAGCCGCUUGUACUGGAUGGAAGAGCUUGAUUAUGGCAGCCGCAUGUUUUAUUAUGAUAUUCUGAAUAACACCAUGCACCACAUUUUGGGAUACAUAUCAGUGGAAGAACAGAUGAGGAACUACUGCACCUGUAACGUGGCAGAAGCAGAGCUAGGAAGACCUGUGAGUAUAGAUGUGUCUGACUCCAAGAAUCCUCAGCUGCUCUUUAUCAGAGGAAGAGAUGAAAUAUGGGCCUCAGAUGUGGAUGGUUGCCACUGCUGGAGAAUUACCAAAAUACCAAGUUUUCAAGGUCAGAAAAUUGGUAGCCUGACUGUAGAUAAGAAAUUUAUAUACUGGAGCACUGAAAUAAAGGAACACACUGAAAUUUGGCUAUCAAAUAAAGAAAGCACAAGCCAAUUUCUUCAGAAGAGGGCAAAUAAUGAGCUAAAAAUCUUAGCCUACAGCUCAACGGCGCAGUUGUAUCCAGAUAAAAGAUGCCUGAUUCUAUUGCCAGACACUGAGAAACCUACCAUCCUUGACAUGACAAACACCAGUUUUACGUUAAGCUUGCCAUCUGCCAUACCACAGCAGCUAUGCCCUGGUAUAUCACAGCCUACGCCGACAUAUCUGGUAUUUCUUGAACAAAUGACAAACAACAGCAGGAACUCAAGCUACCGUUUGUCUGCUCUACAGCAAAAGACAUUGGAAUUUCAGGGUCGUAUAGCCGUCAUAGACAACCUAGAGCCAUUUUCAAGUUAUGUCAUACAAGUUGCAGUGAAAAACUGCUAUUCAGAUGAGGAAAUGCUGCCUAUGGGAAAAGAGACAAUUGGCACAACUCUAUAUGGAGUACCAGAGGCAGUUGAUUCCAUUAAGACAGUGGUUUUGUCUGACACCACCAUCAACAUAUCUUGGAGUGAACCUCUGAAGCCAAAUGGACCUCUAGAAUCCAUCCGCUAUCAAAUCUCUGUCAAUUUAUUACCUCCUGUCCCAGCGACACCCUUGCGAAAAAGUGAAUUUCCAAAUGGGACGCUUGCCUGGUCUGUCAGUGGGCUCCAAUCUGGAAUAAACAAUUUAUUCAAGGUUCUUGCUUUUCAUCCCAAUGAGAACUGGUUUUCUGAAAGUGUCCCUGUUAUUGCAAAAACUUUUGAGACUCCACCUGCACCUGUCAACAUAGUUCCCAGAAAUACCAGUUUCAAGCUAGAAUGGAGAGCUCCUCUGCACGUCAAUGAAACCAGCUUCUGGUUUGAGCUGCGUAAGUGGCAAACAAAAAGUGACUGGUUUUCUCCUGCAAGCACUACGUGCACAGCAGAUCUUGUUUACACAUGCAAUCUCACAGGAACUCUUCCUUCAACCAACUACUUUGUGAGAGUAACAGUAGUUUAUGUUACAGGAGUGAAAAGCACUUCCUCUUCAGCAAGCUUUAAAACUACAGCUGGUGUUCCCAGUAAGCCAGGAGUUCCAAAAAGAGCAGAAGACACUAAAAACUCUGUACAGUGGGAAAAGGCUGAUGACAAUGGAAGCAACCUGACCUACUACAUCUUAGAAAGCAGGAAGCAGUCUGAGAAGACCAGCGAAGUGCAGCCCUUGUGGGAGGUGGUUUACAACGGCUCCUGUGCCAGUAUUUGCACAUGGGUGGCCAAGAACUUAGAAGGAACUUUCCAGUUCAGAGCGGCAGCUGCAAAUGUGCUGGGACUUGGUGAAUACAGUAACACAAGCAAGGAUAUAAUUUUAGGUGAAGAUGAUAUGAUCUCCCCAGACACCAUCAUUGUCAUUGCUGCUGUGAUUGGAGUUGUGCUGGGCUUGACUGUGGCCAUGCUUUUUGGUUUUGUACGGCACCAAAGACAGAAAUCCAGAAAACAGGCCUUCCCUGGACAGAUAGUGUUUAUCAAGGAAGAUAAAGAAUUAGCUCAACUCAGGGGGACGGCUGAGACAGUGGGACUAGCCAAUGCCUGUUAUGCUGUCAGCACUCUUCCUUCUCAGGCAGAGAUUGAAUCAUUGCCAGCUUUCCCCCGGGACAAACUGAACUUACACAAAUUGUUAGGAAGUGGAGCAUUUGGAGAGGUGUAUGAAGGAACUGCAGUAGAUAUCCUGGCAGAUGGAAGCGGAAAAUCCAAAGUAGCGGUCAAGACUUUGAAGAAAGGUGCGACAGACCACGAGAAGAGUGAAUUCCUGAAGGAGGCACACUUAAUGAGUAAAUUUGAUCACCCCCACAUUCUGAAGUUACUUGGCGUGUGCCUGUUAAAUGAACCUCAGUACCUUAUACUGGAGCUGAUGGAAGGAGGGGAUCUACUUAGCUAUUUACGAGGAGCCAGAAAGCAAAAGCUCCAGAGGCCCUUACUGACAGUGGCUGACCUCUUGGAUAUAUGUUUGGAUAUUUGCAAAGGCUGUGUCUAUUUAGAGAAAAUGCAUUUUAUACACAGGGACCUGGCUGCUCGCAACUGCCUUGUGUCUGAGAAGGAAUAUGAGAGCUCCUCCCGAGUAGUAAAGAUUGGUGAUUUUGGACUUGCCAGAGAUAUCUAUGAAAAUGAUUAUUACAGGAAAAGAGGAGAAGGCCUACUCCCUGUCAGAUGGAUGGCUCCCGAAAGCCUCAUUGAUGGUGUCUUUACAAAUCGCUCUGAUGUCUGGGCUUUUGGAGUCUUAGUGUGGGAAACAUUGACUUUGGGUCAACAACCAUAUCCAGGUUUCUCCAAUACAGAAGUUUUACACCAUGUACGAUCAGGAGGAAGGCUGGAAUCUCCAAACAAUUGUCCUGAUGACCUAUGUGAUUUAAUGACAAGAUGCUGGGCCCAAGAACCUCACAAUAGACCUACUUUCUCUUAUAUUCAGGACAAACUGCAAGAGAUAAGACAUUCUCCACCGUCCUUCAUCCACUACCUUGAAGACAAAGAGGCAACAACUGGAUUCAUCAACCAAGCUUUUGAAGAUAGUGAUGUUCCAUGUGCAGAUUCAGGCAGUGUUCUUUCAGGCACGUUAACGGAAACAAGGAAUCAAGAGGGCUUAAAUUAUUUGGUAUUAGUUGAAGAAGGCAACCAAGAUCAAGGAAGCAUCAAUUCUGCUGAAUUUUGUUAAGUCUGGUUCCCUCUGUUUGAAAGAAAGAGGAAAAGAAAAGGCUCUACCAAAGAAGACAUAACCCAAGGAAAAUAUUCUGCGCAUUGCCGUACUUACAGAGAUGUCUUAAAAAAACCCAGCAACUCUCUAAACCACUAAAACUACCAGAAAAUAUCACAAGGUGUAAAGUGAGACUGAGUCUAGGAUGUGAUAUCAAUACAGUAAGAGGAAUUCUUUCUGGAUUCCCUUGUAAGCCAGAGGAAGCCACCUAAAUAAGAGGAGAAACCUGUUCUGGGAAGAUUCCCUCUGCAAGAGCUGGAGGAACCAGAAAGUGAUGUUUGAACUCUGAAUCAUAAUUGCAUAGGGGUUCCUGUCAGCAAUUCCAAAAGCUUCUUAACAACAGCAUCAUUCUCAGGCUAGUAUAAAGCAGAUGGACCCAAUCUUCGUCUGCUGUAAAUCAGGUUAAAUAUGUUAAGCUAUGCUGAUGUACAGCAGUGGAGAAACUGCCUCCAAGUCUUUAGCUUCUCAAGAUUUGGCCUGAGACAGGUAGACCUAUGCCCAGGCAGUUCCUGAGCAAAAGAUGGAUAAUCUCCCUAAGCUUCCUCCUCUCCAUUUUAUUGCUGAGCAUAACAUUAUAUGGCAUGGAAUAUCUCUUUAUUUCUAGUCAUCUGCCUGGUUGUGUCCCCUCAUAACAUCUUUUGCACCCCCAGUCUAUUCACUGGGGGCAGGCAGAGUGAGAAGCAGAGAAGGCUUUGAUGCUGUGCAAGCACUUUUCAGCAAUAACUAAAAUAUUAGUGUGUUACCAGUAUUGCUUUGGUCGCAAAUCUAAAACAGAACACAAGACAAGCUGCUAUGAAGAAAAUAAACUCCAACCCAGUGUCUAACCUGCCUGGGAAGAGGAGAUGUUUGCCCCCAGGCGCUGAUCAGGGGAUGCCCUACGUGAGUCUCUGGGUCACAGACAGUUAGUGUCUCAAGCUCUUCCUUGUCUCUUGAUGCCAGCACAGACACUUGGCGAGAUCGCUGAGCAACGACGGUGAGCAUGCUUCAGGAUGUGAUACCACACACAACCCACUAGUGCUGGGCUCUCAAAUGGCAAUGACUGAACUCUGAGCUGUGCUUGGACAGACGUGGACAUACUAUGUGGCUUUAGUUGGCUUAUUUAAUCUCUCAGCGGCAGACUUGACAUCCAUAUGAAUAGAUGAAAAAUAUUUACUGCUACCUAUGAAUAGUAUUUACUACAACAUAACACAAAUGCUGUGGUGAUUAAUUAAAGUUUGUAAAUUAUUUUGGAAAUGUGAAGGGCCAGGGCAGAUGUUACUUACUUACUAAGGCAGCAUUUUCAGCGGCAUCAAUUCCAGGUCUGCUAUCUUCAGUCCCCUUGGUCUACAGCAGGUGGUAACACCCAACCGUCAGUGCAUUUCUGUUUUUCAGGGUUGCUUACAAGGCCUUUUGAGCCAUCACAUACUGAUGACCAGAUCUAUCCAAAACCUGUAUACCUCCUGCUUUCCAUUUGGGAUCGUGAUCAAGAUCCUAAACAGGAAAAACCAAUGCUUAUGACAAAAAUAUUGAGGCCUUACUGAUUCAAAGAUAAAGUUAUGGAAAGUUUGCAUGUAGCUGCUGCUGAGAGAUAUGCCAGGCUUCAGUGGGCUCACUCACUUAUCCCCAUGUGUCACAGAGGGAGUGCUCAGCAGUUUGACGUGAGCUCUGGGAACGUGGCUGUCAAGAGCUCUGAAGGGAAAACUUAUACAGCUUGAAAAGAGGAUUUUUUGAGAUGUGAAAGGCAAAAGACAUGGGGUGUCAAGAUGAUUUCUUCGUCUUUGUUAUAUUUAACAUUUAGGUCUCAUCUUCUCUGGGAGACUUUGUCAGUCAUUCAAUGGCAUCAUCCCAAGAUUUGAGGAACUUAACAAUGACCACCAGAAAGGCAAAGGGUUGUGCAGCUACACUGCUAACACAAGUGUUUUCUAUCAGUCUUUGUUAACUGCAAAAACUAGUAAGUGAUGGGGACAAGAAAGGCAAAAGCUGAGUUCAACACAACCUUGCUUAUCUGAGAAACUUGAGCCAAGGCCUAGGGCUGAGACUAAAGUUGUUGUUCCUCAGCUUUCCUGGUACCCUAGAUAACAGAGACUACUAAAAUCCUCCAGAUCACAAGGUCCCUCAAAAUUUGGUUCCCUCACCACUUGUAUGGAAGGGCACAAAGAUCCCUACAGCAGGGCCACUGCACCCUUGCUUCCCACAGCCGUUUUCAGCAGAGAAAGUUUUACCAUCUAUUUGAAUUGACUAAUAUCUACAGUUCUUUAUUUUUUCUUUCUUUUUCUUUGACAUCUGUGGCAUGCUGCCUAUGAUGGUUUGAGUCCUCAAGUGUGGCUUUACUGAGCAUAACUGGGUGAAACCAAUCCUCUGUGAUUCAGGUUUAGGACUAUGCAUUUUAAUAAUAACCGUGAAGGCAAGCUUUCUUCUGGGUUCAAAUUUACCUCUUUCUACAUAAAGCUGAUCUUAAUUCAGCUAUCACAGACCUGAAAAUAGUUGUUAUAGAAAAGACUGACUGUAAAAUAGCCCUGACAGGUCUGUUAAUGAUUAAAAAGUUCUAAUUCACCUUCAUUUCUUUUAAUUGAUUCUUGAAAGUUUUUUUUACACACACACACUGGAGUGAGUUGCAGGAGCUUGCAUACCAGGUGGAUUUUUCAAAC
RNA transcript from Grus americana (Whooping crane), 9764 nucleotides. It is a transcript of the gene named ROS proto-oncogene 1, receptor tyrosine kinase, with no coding region annotated. The record is from RefSeq and is a predicted model, not a curated record. Lineage: Eukaryota; Metazoa; Chordata; Aves; Gruiformes; Gruidae. The transcript is spliced from 45 exons.